Molecule: long non-coding RNA, 2174 nt
Organism: Mugil cephalus (flathead mullet)
Lineage: Eukaryota; Metazoa; Chordata; Actinopteri; Mugiliformes; Mugilidae
Exons: 2
Source: RefSeq, a predicted model, not a curated record
AGGAAGGAAGGAAGGAAGGAGAUAAUGGAAAGAAGGAAGGAAGGAAGGAUUCUGAUGAUGUCACUGAGUUGUUUUUCUUUGGUCUUAAAUCAUUUUUAUUGUUUUUAUUCCAGGUUUAAUAGUUUAACUAUGUCUCAUGUCUUUGUGUCUCUAGUGGUGGUGGUGCCCCCCCCCUCCCCCCUCCCCCCCUCGUCCAGACUGUAAACCAACCUAAAGUUGCUGGUUCAACUCCCGGCCAAGCCUCAGAGCCAUGGCAUCGACUGUUACACAGAAAAUAAUCAAUGCAAGAAACCGAGCACUGCUUCUCUGACAGGAACUUUGCACACGACUCUCUGACGUCGACCAAAACAAAAGACAGAAGGUUUCCCCGUCCCCUCGCCCCCCCGCAUGGAUCCUCCUCUACUUGAAGUGAAUGUACAGUCGCUCUGUUUGUUCGUGGUCUCCUGUGACGAUCGUCUUUUAUUCAACCACUGUCGCUCUGAGCUGCUCCCGUCCCGUCCCCGUGUUUUAAUUUAAAGAAGUCAAAGUCUAUAUUGAAACAUAUAUAAGUAUAAAUAUAUAUUAAUCCCUAAACCAACCGCGACGAACCUUAAAAGUAUUUUUGUACUCUGGGUUUUGAACACGUCUCGUUUUGCCUGGAAUGCUGAAGAUGUUGGCAUGAAGUGGUUUGUUGGUUUUUGUGUCCGGUUUGUGCCUCCUCCGGGUUCAGCAUGACGGCUUCGGGGCUCGGUCUGGGUCCAGGUCUCGGUCUGGGUCCAGGUCCAUGUGUUGUCCAUUGUCUGUGACUCCCGUUUUAACACACGUAUAAAUAUAUAUAUUUAUAUAUAUAUAUAUUUAUAUCAAUAAGUCUAUGUAUCUUGGAGUCUCCAGGCGUAUGCACAGUAUUUUAAACGUGCGUUUUUAAUGUUUGCACAUAGCAUUUAUGGAAUAAAAGCUAAUUGAAUAUUUGAUGCAAGCGGGCAUUACCUGUGGCAGCUUCUCUCUCCCAGGAUGAAGACGUACGUGAACUCACCACUCGUGUUCUUGUUGGAUUCAGCUUUAUACUCGGACCGAUGCACUCGUCUCGUUACUGAGCAGAGCCCAGGAGAUGGGACCAAAACCAUGUCUGUGUAACCUGGUCUAACCCGGUCUAAUCCGGUCUAAUCCGGUCUAACCUGGUCUAAUCCGGUCUAAUCCGGUCUAACCUGGUCUAAUCCGGUCUAAUCUGGUUUACUUUACUGUAAAUUAUGAUCUAACCUGAUCUAAUCUGGUUUAAUUAAAUGUAAUCUGGUCUAAUUUGAUUUUAUUUAGUGUAAUCUGGUCUAAUCUGAUUUCAUUUAGUGUAAUCUGGUCUAAUCUGUUAUAAUCUUAGUUGAUCCAUAUUCUCAUCUGAUCUACUUUAACCUGAUCUAAUCUGGUUUAAUUAAAUGUAAUCUGGUCUAAUCUGAUUGCUAUUCAAAUGUAAUUUUAUCUCCUUUAAUCUGAUUAAUAUAUUAUGAUCGAAUCUGUUUCAUGUUAAAAACAUUGAGAUAGUUUUAAACUGCUCCGAACCCCGAUCCCUGUUUCCCGUACUGAUGCUAAGCUAGGCUAACGGCCUCCUGCUACACAGUAAAUGAAGGUAAAUGAAAGAAGCCGUUUAUUUCAGUCAUGGUUUUGGUGUCGAUCUCCUCGUGUGACGUCAGUAAACUAUUGGUUUAAAACACUAUUUAGGUUUAGGCAGAAACUUUCACUUUUAAUGGAAGUUAAUUAAUUGUAUUUUUGUAGCUGUGAGUUGAGGUGAAAGUCAAACACGGAUCACGUUUUGUCUUCAGCGACGCUCCAGUGACGUUCAGCCUCGGUGAAAACGACCGUUGGAUUCAGCUCCAGACAAACGUGAGGAGUUUCUGAAGCGAAGCUGCAGCCGUUCACAUUUCAAACGUUUGAAAGGUCGAAGCUUCGGCCUCAAUCUAUUUAUUUCUUCAUCUUCAGGCUCUAGAGAAAUGUCUCCAUCUGUAUAUUUUUGCAUCAGUUAUUCACGUUAACUCCUGAAUUUAUUUAUUUGCUGCGAAAAGAAUGAAAUGUUUUUCUUUUCUUUUUUGUUUUUUAUGGACUGCUCCGUGUUUUGAUGCAUUUGGACAUUUUUGCAUUCUCACGUGGAUGGAUGUAUUUUACCAGCUGAAAUAAACCUUGUCUCAUGUGGAUGUUGUGCACCUGAA